Phoenix dactylifera (date palm) is the source of this 769-nucleotide long non-coding RNA. RefSeq lists it as uncharacterized. The record is from RefSeq and is a predicted model, not a curated record. NCBI's taxonomy places the organism in Eukaryota, Viridiplantae, Streptophyta, Magnoliopsida, Arecales, Arecaceae.
UUAAAUUACGAGUUUUUAACCUCUCCGCCCGCAAGGCCGAGCGCCCGACCGACCGCUUCCGAGAGGGUCAUCCCUCGCUUUCCGAUGCGAGGUCCCCCCAUCGCCGGCAAGGCCCCUCCGGCGGCGUAGAAAGCCGGAGAAUCACUCGUACCGGCGCCCUAAGAGGCAGCACUCCGUCUCUCACGCCUCCGUGUGUCCCCACCAUCCUUCUCUUCGGCCAUGUUAAACUUUGUCGAGUUUGAGACUGGCUUUGGCGAUUCCGCGAGAUGGAUUCUGGAUUAAAGAAUUGACCUGGAUUCGAGAUUUUGGGCCAAAUUUCGUUCUUGGGUCUUGAAUGGGAACAAACUCAGCAAAGAGAUGGAUUUCAACUGCAAACGCUUGCACAGAAGAUUCUACGAAAUGGACGAAAAGUCUCCUAAUGCCCAACGUAUGUAAUCAUUGACACAAGAGACAAUGCCAUUACGAUUAGUGCUAUCGUGCGAGGGACAUUACAGUGGUGCUUGAGCCCCAGAAGCUAGAUGAUUGGCCUGGUACAGCUGCCUGUAAAUGAAGUCAAAUGCAGCAGGUAAAAGGCUUACUUGUUAAAGAAGUCAAACAUUUGCCAAUUGUUAGGUGAAAUGAGCAUACUCAUGCUUACCUAAAGUUGGAUGAUCAAAUGAGGUAUUAGCUCCUUUGCUUUCUUUGCAUUCCAUUUGUGAUAAAUGUAUCUAUGGACAUAUGCUCUUGCAGUAAUGAAUGCGAAAAAGACUGUGUUCUGUUUGCUCUGACA